GGCCUCACCUCCAACAGUGGGGAUCAAAUUUCAACAUAAGGUUUAGGGGACAAACGUCCAAACUACAGCAAGCCCAUCCUACAGCAAGGCCCUAGAAGAUACAAUUUGUUCUCAAUUAUUUGAAGAUACUUAUAAGAUAGAGUCUUGCUCUGUCGCCCAGGCUGGAGUGCAGUGGUGCGAUCUUGGCUCACUGCAAGCUCCGCCUCGCGGGUUCACGCCAUUCUCCUGCCUCAGCCUCCUGAGUAGCUGGGACUACAGGCGCCCACCACCACACCUGGCUAAUUUUUUGUAUUUUUAGUAGAGACGGGGUUUCCCCGUGUUAGCCAGGAUGGUCUCGAUGUCCUGACCUCGUGAUCCGCCCACCUUGGCCUCCCAAAGUGCUGUGAUUACAGGUGUGAGCCACCAUGCCCAGCCUAAUAAUUUUGAUUAAUGACUGUAUGAAAUCCUUCUUAACUGUUAUUUUUUCUUCUUUAAGUAUUAAUGUAUUGUUAAUCUGUAAAACUAGAUUUUUGAGAUUCAAAGUGAGAUUCAAACAUAUUUUGGC
Molecule: small RNA, 544 nt
Filed under: Pongo abelii (Sumatran orangutan)
Lineage: Eukaryota; Metazoa; Chordata; Mammalia; Primates; Hominidae
Description: processed transcript
Source: RNAcentral